UCGAACGGUAGCACAGAGAGCUUGCUCUCGGGUGACGAGUGGCGGACGGGUGAGUAAUGUCUGGGAAACUGCCUGAUGGAGGGGGAUAACUACUGGAAACGGUAGCUAAUACCGCAUAAUGUCGCAAGACCAAAGAGGGGGACCUUCGGGCCUCUUGCCAUCAGAUGUGCCCAGAUGGGAUUAGCUAGUAGGUGGGGUAACGGCUCACCUAGGCGACGAUCCCUAGCUGGUCUGAGAGGAUGACCAGCCACACUGGAACUGAGACACGGUCCAGACUCCUACGGGAGGCAGCAGUGGGGAAUAUUGCACAAUGGGCGCAAGCCUGAUGCAGCCAUGCCGCGUGUAUGAAGAAGGCCUUCGGGUUGUAAAGUACUUUCAGCGGGGAGGAAGGUGUUGUGGUUAAUAACCGCAGCAAUUGACGUUACCCGCAGAAGAAGCACCGGCUAACUCCGUGCCAGCAGCCGCGGUAAUACGGAGGGUGCAAGCGUUAAUCGGAAUUACUGGGCGUAAAGCGCACGCAGGCGGUCUG
Molecule: ribosomal RNA, 529 nt
Filed under: Enterobacter cloacae
Lineage: Bacteria; Pseudomonadati; Pseudomonadota; Gammaproteobacteria; Enterobacterales; Enterobacteriaceae
Description: bacterial SSU rRNA
Rfam family: Bacterial small subunit ribosomal RNA
Source: RNAcentral